GUACAGGGGGAUAACAGUUAGAAAUGACUGCUAAUACCGCAUAAGCGCACAGUGCUGCAUGGCACAGUGUGAAAAACUCCGGUGGUAUGAGAUGGACCCGCGUCUGAUUAGCUAGUUGGUGGGGUAACGGCCUACCAAGGCGACGAUCAGUAGCCGGCCUGAGAGGGUGAACGGUCACAUUGGGACUGAGACACGGCCCAAACUCCUACGGGAGGCAGCAGUGGGGAAUAUUGCACAAUGGGGGAAACCCUGAUGCAGCGACGCCGCGUGAGCGAAGAAGUAUUUCGGUAUGUAAAGCU
Molecule: ribosomal RNA, 299 nt
Filed under: uncultured bacterium
Lineage: Bacteria
Description: partial 16S ribosomal RNA
Rfam family: Bacterial small subunit ribosomal RNA
Source: RNAcentral